UAGAGUUUGAUCCUGGCUCAGAUUGAACGCUGGCGGAAUGCUUUACACAUGCAAGUCGAGCGGCAGCGCGGGGGCAACCCUGGCGGCGAGCGGCGAACGGGUGAGUAACACAUCGGAACGUACCCUAUCGUGGGGGAUAACGAAUCGAAAGAUUCGCUAAUACCGCAUACGACCUGAGGGUGAAAGCGGGGGAUCGCAAGACCUCGCGCGAUUGGAGCGGCCGAUGUCGGAUUAGCUAGUUGGUAGGGUAAAGGCCUACCAAGGCGACGAUCUGUAGCUGGUCUGAGAGGACGACCAGCCACACUGGGACUGAGACACGGCCCAGACUCCUACGGGAGGCAGCAGUGGGGAAUUUUGGACAAUGGGGGCAACCCUGAUCCAGCCAUGCCGCGUGCGGGAAGAAGGCCUUCGGGUUGUAAACCGCUUUUGUCAGGGAAGAAACGCGCUGAGCUAAUACCUCGGCGUAAUGACGGUACCUGAAGAAUAAGCACCGGCUAACUACGUGCCAGCAGCCCCGGUCAA
RNAcentral lists this ribosomal RNA (522 nucleotides) under uncultured bacterium. Its description in RNAcentral is "bacterial SSU rRNA". It matches the Rfam family "Bacterial small subunit ribosomal RNA", at positions 1 to 524 of the family's 1533-position model. The record is from RNAcentral.